UUUAACAUGAGAGUUUGAUCCUGGCUCAGGAUGAACGCUGGCGGCGUGCUUAACACAUGCAAGUCGAACGAAGCACUUUAUUUGAUUUCCUUCGGGACUGAUUAUUUU
This 108-nucleotide ribosomal RNA is filed under the name Agathobacter rectalis. RNAcentral describes it as "[Eubacterium] rectale partial 16S ribosomal RNA". It matches the Rfam family "Bacterial small subunit ribosomal RNA", at positions 1 to 109 of the family's 1533-position model. Lineage: Bacteria; Bacillati; Bacillota; Clostridia; Lachnospirales; Lachnospiraceae. The record is from RNAcentral.